CGCAUCUGUGCAUGCAGCAUAUCAAUAAGCGGAGGAAAAGAAACUAACAAGGAUUCCCUUAGUAACGGCGAGUGAAGCGGGAAGAGCUCAAAUUUGAAAUCUUCAAGGUUUUACCUUGACGAAUUGUAGUUUAAAGAAGUGUUUUCUGUUGAAGUUUUGGUAAAAGUUCUUUGGAAUAGGACAUCAUAGAGGGUGAGAAUCCCGUAUUUGACCAUUAUUUUCAGCUGUGUGAUACACUUUCAAAGAGUCGGAUUGUUUGGGAAUGCAGUCCAAAAUGGGUGGUAAAUUUCAUCUAAAGCUAAAUAUUGGCGAGAGACCGAUAGCGAACAAGUACCGUGAGGGAAAGAUGAAAAGAACUUUGAAAAGAGAGUUAAACAGUACGUGAAAUUGUCAAAAGGGAAGCGUUUGACACCAGUGUUGUUUUCUCGAAAAUCAAUUAAAAAGAGUUUGAUUUUGUUGUGUAUUGACCUUAACAGCUUGCAUUUCAAUUUUCUUGCUUUUUUUAAUGCACUUUUCGUUUAACAAGUCAACAUCAGUUUCUUUUGUUGUAAAAAGGUCAUUGGAAGGUGGCUUUCUUUUCGGAGAAAGUGUUUAUAGCCUUUGACUCCUGCAAUCGGAGAGACUGAGGUCUGCAGCGUAGAUCCUUCGGGGUUAGAUACAUUUGUGCUAAGUUAUAGCUUUUUAUAGACAACUUGUUGACUAUGAUUAGUCUUGUAGCUUACUCGCUUAUGCUAUUUUACCUACGCUUAGGAUGUUGACGCGCGUGUGUGCGUGAUCUAUACAUGACUCUGUGCAUAUCAAUAAGCGGAGGAAAAGGUACCUACGCUUAGGAUGUUGACGCGCGUGUGUGCGUG
This 854-nucleotide ribosomal RNA is filed under the name uncultured Neocallimastigales. RNAcentral describes it as "partial large subunit ribosomal RNA". It matches the Rfam family "Eukaryotic large subunit ribosomal RNA", at positions 26 to 639 of the family's 3401-position model. Lineage: Eukaryota; Fungi; Neocallimastigomycota; Neocallimastigomycetes; Neocallimastigales. The record is from RNAcentral.